GAUGAAGAACGUAGCGAAAUGCGAUAAGUAAUGUGAAUUGCAGAAUUCAGUGAAUCAUCGAAUCUUUGAACGCACAUUGCGCCCGCCAGCAUUCUGGCGGGCAUGCCUGUUCGAGCGUCAUUUCAACCCUCGACUUCCCUUUGGGGAAAUCGGCGUUGGGGACCGGCUGUAUACCGCCGGCCCCGAAAUGAAGUGGCGGCCCGUCCGCGGCGACCUCUGCGUAGUAAUCCAACUCGCACCGGAACCCCGACUUGGCCACGCCGUAAAACCCCCGACUUCUGAACGUUGACCUCGGAUCAGGUAGGAAUACCCGCUGAACUUAAGCAUAUCAAUAAGCGGAGGA
RNAcentral lists this unclassified non-coding RNA (343 nucleotides) under soil metagenome. Its description in RNAcentral is "partial contains 5.8S ribosomal RNA, internal transcribed spacer 2, and large subunit ribosomal RNA". The stretch from base 1 to 120 matches the Rfam family "5.8S ribosomal RNA", at positions 35 to 154 of the family's 154-position model. The record is from RNAcentral.